CAUGGACCCGGAGGCCGCUCCGGGUGGCUCUUCCGGCCGCCGAUCCGCCGGACAAA
RNAcentral lists this non-coding RNA (56 nucleotides) under marine eukaryotic metagenome. RNAcentral's name for it is "sul1 RNA". It matches the Rfam family "sul1 RNA". The record is from RNAcentral.